RNAcentral lists this ribosomal RNA (456 nucleotides) under Aphodius barbarus. RNAcentral describes it as "partial 16S ribosomal RNA". Lineage: Eukaryota; Metazoa; Arthropoda; Insecta; Coleoptera; Scarabaeidae. The record is from RNAcentral.
GUCUUUUUGAUUAUAAUUUAAAGUCUAACCUGCCCAAUGAAUUAUUCAAUGGCCGCAGUAUUUUAACUGUGCGAAGGUAGCAUAAUAAUUAGUUUUUUAAUUGAGAACUGGUAUGAAUGGUUGGACGAGAAAAUAGCUGUCUCAAUUUAAUUUUAAUUAGAAUUUUAUUUUUAAGUUAAAAAGCUUAAAUUUUUUUAAAAGACGAGAAGACCCUAUAGAGUUUUAUAUUAAAUUUAUAUUGAAUUUAUAAAGUAUUCUAUAUAUUUUAUUUAAAUUUAGUAUUUUGUUGGGGUGACAUAAAAAUUUAAUAAACUUUUUAUUAUUUAUUACAUUGAUAUAUGUUUAAAUGAUCCAUUAUUUAUGAUUAAAAGAUUAAAUUACCUUAGGGAUAACAGCGUAAUUUUUUUUUAGAGUUCUUAUCGAAAAAAAAGUUUGCGACCUCGAUGUUGAUUUAAA